CAGUCGUGCUAGUGAGGCUCAGCCGGUUCUGCCGGUGUAUUCCCCUCGGUCGGGUCAACAUCAGUUUUGCCCGGUGGAUAAGGACGGUGGGAAGGUGGCACCCUCGGGUGUGUUAUAGCCUGCCGUCGCAUACAUCGGGCGAGACUGAGGAAUGCAGCUCGCCUUUAUGGCCGGGGUUCGCCCACGUCCGAGCUUAGGAUGUUGACGUAAUGGACUUUAAACGCCCGUCUUAGAAACACGGACCAAGGAGUCUAACAUGUAUGCGAGUGUU
This 271-nucleotide ribosomal RNA is filed under the name Rhizophagus intraradices. The record is from RNAcentral. Lineage: Eukaryota; Fungi; Glomeromycota; Glomeromycetes; Glomerales; Glomeraceae.